This 879-nucleotide ribosomal RNA is filed under the name bacterium enrichment culture clone NCAAH 30A4. RNAcentral describes it as "bacterial SSU rRNA". It matches the Rfam family "Bacterial small subunit ribosomal RNA", at positions 616 to 1503 of the family's 1533-position model. The record is from RNAcentral.
UGGAAUUGCCAUUGAUACUGGUCGCCUUGAAUUAGUGUGAAGUGGCUAGAAUAUGUAGUGUAGCGGUGAAAUGCUUAGAUAUUACAUAGAAUACCGAUUGCGAAGGCAGGUCACUAACACUAUAUUGACGCUGAUGGACGAAAGCGUGGGGAGCGAACAGGAUUAGAUACCCUGGUAGUCCACGCCGUAAACGAUGGAUACUAGCUGUCCGGCCUGCAUUGGUAGGCUGGGUGGCCAAGCGAAAGUGAUAAGUAUCCCACCUGGGGAGUACGUUCGCAAGAAUGAAACUCAAAGGAAUUGACGGGGGCCCGCACAAGCGGUGGAGCAUGUGGUUUAAUUCGAUGAUACGCGAGGAACCUUACCAGGGCUUAAAUGUAGUCUGACAGGGGUGGAAACACCCCCUUCUUCGGACAGACUGCAAGGUGCUGCAUGGUUGUCGUCAGCUCGUGCCGUGAGGUGUCAGGUUAAGUCCUAUAACGAGCGCAACCCCUGUCGUUAGUUGCCAGCAUGUAAAGAUGGGAACUCUAACGAGACUGCCGGUGCAAGCCGUGAGGAAGGUGGGGAUGACGUCAAAUCAUCACGGCCCUUACGUCCUGGGCCACACACGUGCUACAAUGGCAGGUACAAUGGGCAGCCACGCCGCAAGGCGGAGCGAAUCCACAAAACCUGUCUCAGUUCGGAUCGGGGUCUGCAACUCGACCCCGUGAAGCUGGAAUCGCUAGUAAUCGGAUAUCAGCCAUGAUCCGGUGAAUACGUUCCCGGGCCUUGUACACACCGCCCGUCAAGCCAUGGAAGCUGGAAGCACCUGAAGUCCGUCACCGCGAGGAGCGGCCUAGGGUGAAGCUGGUAACUGGGGCUAAGUCGUAACAAGGUAGCCGU